AUUCCCCCCCCCCCCCCCCCCCCCCCCCCAAAUAUCAUUCUGAACCAGUAUGUAUCAAUAAAAGAAGAGAGAAGAGAUAGUUAGUAAAUGCGUCUCGAUUUUUUUAAUUAUAAAAAAGUACAUAAAAAUUGAUAUGAGAUUAAGAAAAUUAAAGGAAAAAUUGCAAAAACCACCUUUGAAGUACGGUGGUUGUUGCAAUUAGACCUUCAAACUCCCGUUUGUAAAAGUUGAACUCCUAAACUUCUAAGUGUAAAAAUUGGACCAUAGUAGAAAUUGGAUCCACAAAUGAUAAAAAUUGAACUCUUAAACUUUACAUGAAGGUUUAAUUCUUAAAAUUGAAAGUUUAAGGGUGUAAUUACAACUGUUAAGGGUAGUUUUUGCAAUUUGUCCAAAAUUAAUUCUUUCUAAACAAGUUUGUGGAUAUAAGUGAAGAACAAAGCUAAUACCAUUGUUGAUUCGCUUAUAGAAUUAAUAGAAAACUCAAGUGUUAGGUAAUUGUAUAUUCUUUGCUUUGAUAGUGGAGUCGAGAACAUUUUUAAUAUUCUUAAAGGUAACAAUCCUUCCUUUUACAAAUUCCAAGUUCUUGUAACUUGUUAUCUCCAAGGAACAAAAACUAUAUUCUUCCUCUGCUCUAAAUCAUUAUGAGAUACUUUUUUUUGUUGUUACUUUAAAUGUAAUUCAUUUGUUAGUUGAAAAAAAUUUAGGACUUACGCUACUAAGCGGAGAAAAUUUGAUAUUCAUACUAACUCUUUAAAGAUUAAGAAAGAACUGAACAUUCCAUUGUUAAGAGAAGAAAACAUUCUUUCACUUCUUUUAAACGCACCAUCAUUUCUAGGAUAAGAUGUUGAUGUAUCUUCUGGAGAAAUAAAGUUUUAUACAAGAACUUUUUGGAAAAAGAACACAUUUUUUAAUCUUGAGGUUUGACUUGCAUUGCAUAUAAGUUCCAAUUUUCAAACUGAUGAGGAGCAGGAAUUUAAGAAAUUUUGUGGUGGGUAAUGUAGCAUUCAUUAUAGGACAUGUUGUCUUUCAAACCUUGGAGCCCAUUCCUCUCUUUCUUCAUUCUUAAAUUUAUCUCCCAUCUCAAGAAGCUUUGUUCCAUUGUUCAUUUUCAUAUUUCCCUUUGAGUUUCGAUUUCAAAUACCUUAAUCUAUAGACGUGAUUUCACAUGGAUGGAAUCCCCUUUUUGUAAAGGGGGACGGCAGGUGUGUUCUUUCAUUUUUUUUUCCAAUGAAAGCUCUUAUUUUCAUUAAAAAAGAACAACAAAAAUUGUCUCCCAUCCUGAUCAACUUCUAAGUUGGAAUUGACUGUUGUCCAAGAAAUACUUUCACAAACAUUGUUGUAUCCAAAGGAUGCUUGGAAUAUGUCUCUCCUCUUAAGUUGGUACGUUCUCUGUAAAGGAAGUGAGUAAAUUUGAUGCAUUUAUUCUUUCUUUUGUCCUUUUUAUAUGGCUGCCUUUAGAAAGUCCUACUAUAAGUUUCCAACUUUGAUUUGUGUUGGUCUAGCAAAGCUGUUUGGUCUAAAUUUUAAUGAGGUUUUUGCCCUCCUUUCGGGCAGCUAUGGUGCGAAAGAAACUUGUCACUCCUUUUGAACACCAAACUAAGGGAGGUGUUUUGAGAUCUUGUCACUCUUUGUCCAUUCCUUGUUAAUUAUUUUGUAAUUUUAGCUUAUCUCAGAUUGUCUCUAGUUUGGCAUCUUGUUUGUAACCCUUUUGGUGUGAGGAGAUAUCUCAUCUCCUUCUCUUUUUGUAAAUCACCUUUUGAUAAUGAAAAGUUUGUUUCUUAUAUAUAGAUAUAUAUAAAAGGAACAUUUUUUUAUGGAUGAAUGGUGUAUAACUUCAUACUCCAUAACAAUGCUUGUUUGCAAAGCGCAAGGCGCGCUCUAAGACACAAACUUUUUAAUCGCCUCAAGGCGAUGGGUGACAAAAAGAUGUUGCCUGAUCGAAGCGAGGUACAACUAUUAAAAUAAUUCAUAAUAAUAAUAUAAAUGAAAAAUACAUAAGAUGAGAUAAUAUAAAGAUAUAAAUUGCAAAGAAGAGACAAGACCUAAGGAUUCGUGAGAAUCCGAACAUUCCAACCAAGUUGACACCCUUCUAAUUUUGUUAUUUUAAAUUGAUUAACUUAAUUAUUUAGAAAUGUUUGACUUAAAAAUCAAAUUCUUUGGAUAGGAUUUUGAUAAUGAUUAACUAAAAAAUAAAAUAUAUAAAAAUUUACCUAUGUUUGAUUAUGUUUAAUAAUAUCAUACUUCAUUUAUCUUGAAUAUGACUAAUUUGUAAGUUAAAUAUUUUCAAUAUAGCUCAUUUUAAAUCAAAUAUAAUUUAAAAUUAAUUAUUAAAAAAACUAUUUCAAAUUAAAUUUAAAUUUAAAUUUAAAUUUGGACCACAAUAAAUAUAGUUUAUUUUAUUAAUAUUAGUUUAUUAAGUUUUAAAUUCAAGUUCAUCUCAUUUUCAAUUAUUUCUUUUUUUAAAAACUAUUUUUUCUUCAAUUUUGAAAUUGAGAUGGGACUAAACUUAAAAUUAUUAUAAUUAUUAUUUUGCAUAUUCUUUCAAUUAUAUGCAAAGAUGAAGUAGCCUUGCAUGGGUCUACAAUUAUUUAUUUAUUAUUAUUCUCUUCAUUUUUCUUUUUCUUUUUGUUAGAGUAACUUUAAGCUAAGUGUUUUUCCUCGAUAAUUUAAUGUUAAUUUUAAUAAUAGAGAGAAAAGUUCAUAGUACAAGAAAAUUGUAUAAGUUAGUGCACCGGACAUCUCAACUAGGUUGACAUCUUUAUAGCAUCUUCAUCAUUUUAUUAAUAUUUUUAUUUUCAAAAAAGAAAAAAUUAAUUAUAUUUUUAUAUAGGUGCCUAAGAAUUAUUGCAUAAAUGACUUUGUUACUACUAGAUUAGUUACAAUCACACUCAACUUUUAACUUGACCAGUCACUUUUGUGGUUUGUCAAGUGUUGUAAUCGGGCUUUACACUUGUGACUUGUUAAUCGAUAAAAAACUUUUCCUCAUUCAAAACAUGAAGUCUCAAAGAGGGAAUGUUGAAGAAAUCUUUUGAAUAGCAAAUGAGAGUUGGAAAAGUAAAACUCAAAGAGAAAAGAAUGGAACAUUCAUCUUCGAACUACUUUUGAACUUUUGAGUUGUUCUAACCUUGCAAAUUCCGUAUUCAAAUUCUAAUAUUCUGUCAUGUUCAUUGUUUUUUCUUGAGUAAUUCACUAAUUGUAAAAGCUGUUUUUCUUUAACAAUUAAAUAGACAGCCAUUGUCAUUGUUGGCAAUGAAUAUUGGUUACUUUUAGUAUGAAGGCAUUUAUGAGUUUCUUAUGUGAUGGUUGAUAUUGCUACUAUGAAUGAGUUAUGAGUUCCUCAUAUAUUUACUUUAAUUCUUUUCUUUUUAUACUCUUAUAUCUUAUGUAUUUUAGAGAUGUGGAGUACCUUUCAUCUUGUGUAGACAUUAUGUGUGGGUUAAUUUACCUUACAAUGGUAGUGGUUAAACAUCCUAUGUUAGGGGCAAUUAUUCAAUUUUUUUUAUAAUUGGAGUUUCAAUAUGAUGUCUAUAUCUAAAAUCGAGGACAUAUCGAGGGAGGUAUGUGUAUUAGAAUGGAGAAAGAGUGUUAUUUGGCUUCAUGGGUGGACUUUGGAAGGGGUUAAACUUGUGUACACUGAUCAAGGAUUAACAUAUAUGUCGACAUGUGUAUAUCUAUAAAAAUAAAUUUUAUAAGUUGCAUGACAUAAAUAUCCAUCAAUAUUGAUAUUUUAUCGAUACAUCUGUGAUAUAUUUGUUAAGGUUGAAAUCUCAAUAUCGAUGUUUUAAUCCUUGAUACUAAUGAAAACGAAGUUGAGUCUUCUAAACUUGUGAAGCUUUUUUCUCUCUCUUGGGAACCUCUAAACAUGUGAAAUUAAUUAAUAUUGAGCACUUGGAAGCCACCUUAAAUAAGGUGGAACAUCACUUUAGAUGUUCGAAUGCAUUAACAAUGAAGAGAUACAUAUGGUAAAAGAUAUAGAUGUUGAAGAGAGUGAUACUAGUGAUAGAAGUGUAGCCUUGAAGUUCGAAAAAUCAUAGAUAGUGACCAUGAAGGCGUAGGACACACUUUCCCAUUUUAUUAUCAUUAUUUUUUAAAAUACAUAAUUGAAAGUGGAGGGACUUGAGCUUCUGACAUGUUGAUCAAGAGUCUUUUGUUUUUCAGCUGAGCAUAAUCCUUUCAAGUGAUUGAUGGUACAUGAAGAGUAAAUAACUAAUUUAGGAAAUGUUUGGAGCAAGAGGUGAAAUAUUGAACUUCCAGGAGCUGUAAAGUUGUGUACUCUUAUGAUCCAAGGUAUUACAAUUUUUUUAGUAGCAGAGCCCACGAACUCUUUACGCUAAAUAAGAAGUGGGGUUCACGUACUCCCCAACUUCUACUCCCACUACUUGGUCCAAACAAUCUCUUUAGGCUUUAUGUGUUUGGCUCAAAGAUUUUGCGAGUUCAUGUACUAAAAAGAUAUAAUGUAUUUUUAUAUUUUUAUUCAAACUCCUUUCAUAAUGGACCAUAGAAGUUCACAAUUCUGCUCUUUCUUCCCAACCGCUCAUGCAUUUGAAUGGAUGAAUUAAUAGAAGUUACCUGUCAUCUGUACUUUCUUCGUUACCAUUGGACUACGCCGUACCAAAUUCCCAGUGAUGUCUACAGCUCC
RNAcentral lists this long non-coding RNA (4639 nucleotides) under Cucumis sativus (cucumber). Its description in RNAcentral is "long non-coding RNA (CSAT_LNC001260)". Lineage: Eukaryota; Viridiplantae; Streptophyta; Magnoliopsida; Cucurbitales; Cucurbitaceae. The record is from RNAcentral.